CGCGCAGGCGGUCUUGUCCGUCAGGUGUGAAAGCUCGGGGCUCAACCCCGGAAGUGCACUUGAAACAGCAAGACUUGAAUACGGUAGAGGAGGGAGGAAUUCCUGGUGUAGAGGUGAAAUUCGUAGAUAUCAGGAGGAACACCGAUGGCGAAGGCAUCUCUCUGGGCCGAUAUUGACGCUGAGGCGCGAAGGCGUGGGUAGCGAACG
RNAcentral lists this ribosomal RNA (207 nucleotides) under uncultured bacterium. RNAcentral's name for it is "partial 16S ribosomal RNA". It matches the Rfam family "Bacterial small subunit ribosomal RNA", at positions 568 to 774 of the family's 1533-position model. The record is from RNAcentral.